RNAcentral lists this ribosomal RNA (461 nucleotides) under uncultured bacterium. Its description in RNAcentral is "bacterial SSU rRNA". It matches the Rfam family "Bacterial small subunit ribosomal RNA", at positions 8 to 496 of the family's 1533-position model. The record is from RNAcentral.
AGAGUUUGAUCCUGGCUCAGGAUGAACGCUGGCGGCGUGCCUAACACAUGCAAGUUGAGCGAUUUACUUCGGUAAAGAGCGGCGGACGGGUGAGUAACGCGUGGGUAACCUGCCCUGUACACACGGAUAACAUACCGAAAGGUAUGCUAAUACGAGAUAAUAUGCUUUUAUCGCAUGGUAGAAGUAUCAAAGCUUUUGCGGUACAGGAUGGACCCGCGUCUGAUUAGCUAGUUGGUAAGGUAACGGCUUACCAAGGCGACGAUCAGUAGCCGACCUGAGAGGGUGAUCAGCCACAUUGGAACUGAGACACGGUCCAAACUCCUACGGGAGGCAGCAGUGGGGAAUAUUGCACAAUGGGCGAAAGCCUGAUGCAGCAACGCCGCGUGAGCGAUGAAGGCCUUCGGGUCGUAAAGCUCUGUCCUCAAGGAAGAUAAUGACGGUACUUGAGGAGGAAGCCCCGG